This is a non-coding RNA of Penaeus vannamei (Pacific white shrimp), 292 nucleotides long. NCBI's taxonomy places the organism in Eukaryota, Metazoa, Arthropoda, Malacostraca, Decapoda, Penaeidae. The record is from RefSeq and is a predicted model, not a curated record.
CAGAGCUGAACGCCAAAUUCUUCGUCAAGUCGUAUUCUACUCGCACAUGGACUUUCGUGUCAUCCUUUACCUCCACAUUAUUUUACAGCUGCUACACCUCAGCUGCCGCGCUCCAAGCAUGCCAGGGGAGAAAACUCCGCCGAUCUAGGAAACUCGAUAUUCCAAUCAAGGAAGUGGAUGAAGAGAUAUCUAGCAGUCUCACGGAAGCGGAAGACAAACAAGAUACUUCGGAGAAACUGUUUUUCACCGUAUGGAGCACCAGCAGUACUACUGUCACUGUCACCACCUUCUC